GAGUCGCGAGAAUUAGAUUCUCGGCGUACCGCUCAGUAACACGUGCUUAACCUGCCCUAUGCUGGAUAAUAACCUCGGGAAACUGACAAUAAUGAUCCAUAGUUCACUACGCCUGGAACGGUGAGUGGAUGAAAGCUCCGGCGGCAUAGGAUGGGCCUGCGGCGUAUCAGGUUGUAGGGGGUGUAACGUACCCUCUAGCCCUCUACGCGUACGGGUGUUGGGAGACAUAGCCCGGAGAUGGAUUCUGAGACACGAAUCCAGACCCUACGGGGUGCAGCAGGCGCGAAAACUUGGCAAUGCGAGAAAUCGUGACCAGGGAACUCCAAGUGCAUCGGGUAAGACCGGUGCUUUUCUUGACUCUAAAUAGGUCUUGGAAUAAGGGGUGGGUAAGGACGGUGCCAGCCGCCGCGGUAAUACCGGCGCCUCAAGUGGUAGUCGCUUUUAUUGGGCCUAAAACGUCCGUAGCCGGUCUGAUACAUUCGUGGGUAAAUCAACCAGCUCAACUGGUUGAAUUCUGCGAGGACGGUCAGACUUGGGACCGGGAGAGGUGUGGGGUACGCUCAGGGUAGGGGUAAAAUCCUGUCCUCCUGAGCGGACCACCUGUUGCGAAGGCGCCACACUAGAACGGAUCCGACGGUCAGGGACGAAGCCUAAGGGCACGAACCGGAUUAAAUACCCGGGUAGUCCUAGGUGUAAACGCUGUGGACUUGAUGUUGGGGGUGCUCCGAACACUCUCAGUGUCCGAAGCGAA
Molecule: ribosomal RNA, 751 nt
Filed under: uncultured euryarchaeote
Lineage: Archaea; Methanobacteriati; Methanobacteriota
Description: bacterial SSU rRNA
Rfam family: Archaeal small subunit ribosomal RNA
Source: RNAcentral